AUUUGAAAGAGCAUUUCUGGUUACUGUUUUGUCAACAUAAAUCUUAUGAGGAUAAUUUGGUGAAGUGACAGAAAAAGCGGGGAAUGGGUUUGAACUUGAACGGCCAGAGUCAAGAUUAGUAGAUGGGUGCUCUAUGAACAAGGACAGAAUUUUGCAGUGCCAAAUUUUCUUUAAUCUUUCCUGUCUGUCUUAUAGUGAUAGUAGUU
Molecule: long non-coding RNA, 206 nt
Filed under: Panax ginseng (ginseng)
Lineage: Eukaryota; Viridiplantae; Streptophyta; Magnoliopsida; Apiales; Araliaceae
Description: long non-coding RNA (PGIN_LNC014501)
Source: RNAcentral